Molecule: ribosomal RNA, 253 nt
Filed under: uncultured bacterium
Lineage: Bacteria
Description: partial 16S ribosomal RNA
Rfam family: Bacterial small subunit ribosomal RNA
Source: RNAcentral
UACGUAGGGUGCAAGCGUUAAUCGGAAUUACUGGGCGUAAAGCGUGCGCAGGCGGCUAUGCAAGACAGAUGUGAAAUCCCCGGGCUUAACCUGGGUACUGCAUUUGUGACUGCAUGGCUAGAGUACGGUAGAGGGGGAUGGAAUUCCGCGUGUAGCAGUGAAAUGCGUAGAUAUGCGAAGGAACACCGAUGGCGAAGGCAAUCCCCUGGACCUGUACUGACGCUCAUGCACGAAAGCGUGGGGAGCAAACAGG